This is a long non-coding RNA of Cynara cardunculus var. scolymus (artichoke), 550 nucleotides long. RefSeq lists it as uncharacterized. The transcript is spliced from 2 exons. The record is from RefSeq and is a predicted model, not a curated record. NCBI's taxonomy places the organism in Eukaryota, Viridiplantae, Streptophyta, Magnoliopsida, Asterales, Asteraceae.
GGACUGGAUCAGAAGCAGCAGAUCUGCAUUACCAAGCUGGUGGGAAGCAACAGCAACAGCAGUUCAAAUAUACAUUGUUGUCAUCACACACAAAUGUUCAGAUUUCAUAGGUUUACGCAGGCAGUCAAAGUGUCAUUUGAACAGAUUCUUCCAAAGCUGUUUUGACAGUAUUUAAAGACUGUUAAGCUUGCACAGAGCAACAGCUUUACAGCAACAGUUUUGACAACAGUUGUUUGAAUAGCAGGUCUGUCUGUUUGUGGAUUUGAGUACUGGACCAGAAGCCAUCUGAACAGGUCUUUCAGAUCAAAAGUGACUGAUACAAAGGUGUUGCCCAAUUAAGAACUGUGCGAAGUGGAUCCUUCCAAGACGAAUUCAAGUGGAUUUUUGAAUACACUUCAGAGAGCAGAUAGAAUAUUGUUUUUAAAAGUUUCAUAUCUGUAUUGUUUGACUUGAAUUAGCUUGUUUUGGACUUGACUUGGAUCGGUGUGAUUUGGACUUAGACUCAUAUUUUUGGACUUGGAUAUUUUUUUUGGACUGUUUUUAGUUUCUU